Molecule: ribosomal RNA, 505 nt
Filed under: uncultured bacterium
Lineage: Bacteria
Description: bacterial SSU rRNA
Rfam family: Bacterial small subunit ribosomal RNA
Source: RNAcentral
CAGGCCUAACACAUGCAAGUCGAACGAGAAAGUUCCCUUCGGGGGAUUAGUAAAGUGGCGCACGGGUGAGUAACGCGUGGGUAAUUUACCUUUGAGCUUGGGAUAACUUCGGGAAACCGGGGCUAAUACCGGAUAAGACUACAUACUACAAGGCGUGUAGUAAAAGCUUGCCUCUGACGCAAGCAAGCACUCAAAGAUAAGCCCGCGUCUCAUUAGCUUGUUGGUAGGGUAAUGGCCUACCAAGGCUUUGAUGGGUAGCCGGCUUGAGAGGGUGAACGGCCACAUUGGCACUGGAACACGGGCCAGACUCCUACGGGAGGCAGCAGUGAGGAAUAUUGCGCAAUGGGCGAAAGCCUGACGCAGCAACGCCGCGUGAGUGAUGAAGGCCUUCGGGUUGUAAAGCUCUGUCAGCGGGGACGAAUCCCCUUCCGGGCAAAUAGUUCGGAAGACUGACGGUACCCGCAAAGGAAGCCCCGGCUAACUUCGUGCCAGCAGCCGCGGUAAU